GCCUGUAAGACUGGGAUAACUCCGGGAAACCGGAGCUAAUACCGGAUAGUUCCUUGAACCGCAUGGUUCAAGGAUGAAAGACGGUUUCGGCUGUCACUUACAGAUGGACCCGCGGCGCAUUAGCUAGUUGGUGGGGUAAUGGCUCACCAAGGCGACGAUGCGUAGCCGACCUGAGAGGGUGAUCGGCCACACUGGGACUGAGACACGGCCCAGACUCCUACGGGAGGCAGCAGUAGGGAAUCUUCCGCAAUGGACGAAAGUCUGACGGAGCAACGCCGCGUGAGUGAUGAAGGUUUUCGGAUCGUAAAGCUCUGUUGUUAGGGAAGAACAAGUGCGAGAGUAACUGCUCGCACCUUGACGGUACCUAACCAGAAAGCCACGGCUAACUACGUGCCAGCAGCCGCGGUAAUACGUAGGUGGCAAGCGUUGUCCGGAAUUAUUGGGCGUAAAGGGCUCGCAGGCGGUUUCUUAAGUCUGAUGUGAAAGCCCCCGGCUCAACCGGGGAGGGUCAUUGGAAACUGGGAAACUUGAGUGCAGAAGAGGAGAGUGGAAUUCCACGUGUAGCGGUGAAAUGCGUAGAGAUGUGGAGGAACACCAGUGGCGAAGGCGACUCUCUGGUCUGUAACUGACGCUGAGGAGCGAAAGCGUGGGGAGCGAACAGGAUUAGAUACCCUGGUAGUCCACGCCGUAAACGAUGAGUGCUAAGUGUUAGGGGGUUUCCGCCCCUUAGUGCUGCAGCUAACGCAUUAA
This 750-nucleotide ribosomal RNA is filed under the name bacterium. RNAcentral's name for it is "bacterial SSU rRNA". It matches the Rfam family "Bacterial small subunit ribosomal RNA", at positions 128 to 863 of the family's 1533-position model. The record is from RNAcentral.